This is a long non-coding RNA of Gigantopelta aegis, 499 nucleotides long. RefSeq lists it as uncharacterized. The transcript is spliced from 3 exons. Lineage: Eukaryota; Metazoa; Mollusca; Gastropoda; Neomphalida; Peltospiridae. The record is from RefSeq and is a predicted model, not a curated record.
AUCCCGUAAUAAAGACACUGGUAAACGAUUUAUUUACUGAAAUGUUACCACUUUCAUGGGCGCAGCCAUCUUGUUUUGGGCUUCAAAGCUGGCAUCUGAUUGGUUGGUUGAGAUACUAGGUUUUACUGUGGCAUCCUAGAACAAUGGUGGAGUUGCUAGGUUUUGCCAUGGUAAUAACUUCGUAAUGAAGGAAAAUAUUGCCAUACACAAUACACUAAAGGAACGUCAUAUACCUAGUAACUCCAAAAAUAAUAUCAACUCAAGUUUGAUAUAAAAAAUGAGUUACUAGGUUCUGGCUUUGCACAGGAGAGUUAAUUGUUCUAAUUGUUCUAAUUUUGACAUUUUGUUGUUGUUGAUUUCUUUCAGAUCAUCGACAUCCUGGUUUCUGAUGCUGAACUGACGGAAGUGAAGGCCAUCAAGACUGAUGCUGGUGAACAGACAGAAGUGAAGGUCAUCGAGCCCCUGGUUUCUGAUGCUGGUCAACAGACAGAAGUGAAGG